RNAcentral lists this ribosomal RNA (394 nucleotides) under uncultured bacterium. Its description in RNAcentral is "partial 16S ribosomal RNA". It matches the Rfam family "Bacterial small subunit ribosomal RNA", at positions 523 to 918 of the family's 1533-position model. The record is from RNAcentral.
AUACGUAGGGAGCGAGCGUUGUCCGGAAUUACUGGGCGUAAAGGGCGCGUAGGCGGCGCUUCAGGUCGUCUGUCAAAUGGGAGGGCUUAACCCUUUUUCGCAGACGAAACUGGAGAGCUUGAGAAGCAGAGAGGCAAACAGAAUUCCUGGUGUAGCGGUGAAAUGCGUAGAUAUCAGGAAGAAUACCAGUGGCGAAGGCGGUUUGCUGGCUGCAUACUGACGCUGAAGCGCGAAAGCCAGGGGAGCAAACGGGAUUAGAUACCCCGGUAGUCCUGGCAGUAAACGAUGUAUGCUGGGUGUGAGACUAGCGAUAGUUUCGUGCCGAAGUUAACGCGAUAAGCAUACCGCCUGGGGAGUACGGUCGCAAGAUUGAAACUCAAAGGAAUUGACGGGG